GGGGGCGUGGCGCAAUUGGCAGACGCAGGGGACUUAAAAUCCUCCAGCUUCGGCUUUGUGGGUUCAAGUCCCACCGCCCCCACCA
This 85-nucleotide transfer RNA is filed under the name Atopobium sp. RNAcentral's name for it is "tRNA-Leu". It matches the Rfam family "tRNA". From Rfam's summary of the family: Transfer RNA (tRNA) molecules are approximately 80 nucleotides in length. RNAcentral also lists the same sequence under 2 other names. The record is from RNAcentral. Lineage: Bacteria; Bacillati; Actinomycetota; Coriobacteriia; Coriobacteriales; Atopobiaceae.